RNAcentral lists this ribosomal RNA (252 nucleotides) under uncultured bacterium. RNAcentral's name for it is "partial 16S ribosomal RNA". It matches the Rfam family "Bacterial small subunit ribosomal RNA", at positions 525 to 776 of the family's 1533-position model. The record is from RNAcentral.
ACGGAGGGAGCGAGCGUUAAUCGGAAUUACUGGGCGUAAAGCGCGCGUAGGCGGCUUUGUAAGUCGGAUGUGAAAGCCCAGGGCUUAACCCUGGAAUUGCAUUCGAUACUGCAUGGCUAGAGUAUGGUAGAGGGAAGUGGAAUUUCCGGUGUAGCGGUGAAAUGCGUAGAUAUCGGAAGGAACACCAGUGGCGAAGGCGACUUCCUGGGCCAAUACUGACGCUGAGGUGCGAAAGCGUGGGGAGCAAACAGG